Molecule: transfer RNA, 83 nt
Filed under: bacterium
Lineage: Bacteria
Description: tRNA-Tyr
Rfam family: tRNA
About the family: Transfer RNA (tRNA) molecules are approximately 80 nucleotides in length. Their secondary structure includes four short double-helical elements and three loops (D, anti-codon, and T loops).
Source: RNAcentral
GCACAGGUAGCGAAGUGGUCAAACGCGGCUGACUGUAGAUCAGCUGGCUUACGCCUUCGGGGGUUCGAAUCCCUCCCUGUGCA